UUUGAGGAUUUUUUCUUAAGUUUCCGUCUCUCUUCUUCUGGGUUUACAUAGUUCUGUGAUCAAUGCCAAAUAACGCACAGAGAUAAUUUCUCUUAUUGUUUUGUUGAUUAAAGAAGAAAUUAUGAGUAAUAGAAGACUAAAGCCUAUUUUCUUAACGUCCCACAUCGACAAGUUAGAGAGCGUUGGUCAUAAGCUUUGUAAUAUAUAAAGGAAGCUGAGCCAAACGUUCACUUCAUACCUUUCUCGGCCUUUUGGCUAAGAUCAAGUGUAGUAUCUGUUCUUAUCAGUUUAAUAUCUGAUAUGUGGGCCAUCGGCCCACACGAUAUUAACUCUAUUUUUUGAGGGAGAAAGCCCACUAAGAUAGCUUGCUAUCUGGGCUUUCAAGAGUCGCCUAUGCGUUGCACUACUGCACAGGCUUGGCUCAACCCGCCAAAUUUAUAGUUGAAGUGUUGAACUUUCAAACUUGUUGAUAAGGGAUAAAAUGUGAAUACAGAAAUUAAUUCGGAUUCUCAAACAGUUAUUAAAGUAUUGUGAGAUUUGAUAAGUAAAUC
This is a small nuclear RNA of Arabidopsis thaliana (thale cress), 551 nucleotides long. RefSeq annotates it as U2.6; snRNA. The transcript has a single exon. The record is from RefSeq. Lineage: Eukaryota; Viridiplantae; Streptophyta; Magnoliopsida; Brassicales; Brassicaceae.